This 445-nucleotide long non-coding RNA is filed under the name Mytilus galloprovincialis (Mediterranean mussel). The record is from RNAcentral. Lineage: Eukaryota; Metazoa; Mollusca; Bivalvia; Mytilida; Mytilidae.
AUACAAGCAUGAAACUUUGUAAGAACAUGCCUUUAGGUGUAUGUAAUCAUAUUAGGGGGUAGCCACGAAAAAAAAUCAUCCGAUCAUGGCGGCCAUCUUGGAUUUUCGAAAUGACGUCUUCACAGGGAAAAGACAUCAUAUUUAUGGCCCGUUUUGCUUGUAUUGUAUCCAAAAUGUUACAAAAUGGAGUAAAUCAUUGUUAUAUAAGAUAAAGUAUCACUUUCGGUCAAAUAUCGGUCGAUAACCCACUCCUGGUUUUAUGAAUAUCCCGAAUAUGACUGUUUUAUAACCCGAAUAAUGUCAGUUGUUAUAUUCCACAAAUCUUCGACUAAUCUUCGAUUGCUACAUUAGGUUCGAUAGGUUAUAGGCAAUUUUAUUCUAGUUAACCUUUUUGAGAGUGUGUGUUCUCAUUGUUAUAAGACGUGGCUCGGUACUUGUCUAUCCA